GACGAACGCUGGCGGCGUGCCUAAUACAUGCAAGUCGAGCGAAGCGGCGGAUGGGUGAGUAACGCGUGGGUAACCUGCCCUUAAGUCUGGGAUACCAUUUGGAAACAGAUGCUAAUACCGGAUACUAAAGGACGGACCUGCGAUGCAUUAGCAAGUGGGGAAGGUAACGGCUUACCAAGGCGAUGAUGCAUAGCCGAGUUGAGAGAAUGAUCGGACACAUUGGGACUGAGACACGGCCCAAACUCCUACGGGAGGCAGGAGUAGGGAAUCUUCCGCGAUGGACGAACGUCUGAUGAAGCAACGCCGAGUGAGUGAAGAGGGUUUUCGGAUCGUAAAGCUCUGUUGUUGGUGAAGCGGUAAUCAACCAGAAAGUCCCGGCUAACUACGUGCCAGCAGCCGCGGUAAUUG
Molecule: ribosomal RNA, 408 nt
Filed under: uncultured bacterium
Lineage: Bacteria
Description: partial 16S ribosomal RNA
Rfam family: Bacterial small subunit ribosomal RNA
Source: RNAcentral